ACAGAUAGAAUUAAAGUUGCUCGUCAGCUGAUUGAGGAUAAGGAGAUUGGCCUGGAUUAUCCAGGUAGGCUCAAUGUAAUCACGAAGGGCCUUUAAAGUGAGAGAGGGAGGCAGAAGAGGAAGUCAGAGUGAUGUGCUGUGAAAUCUACUACCGUUUGCUGGUUUUGAAGAUGGAGAAAAAGAGUGAUGAACGAAACAUGGAUGGCCUUGGGAACCUGGAAAAGGGUCACUGAAAUGGGAUGACAUGAACUCAAGGAGGCUGUUUAUGACCAUAUCAUUUGCAACAUGGAGAAAGCUUAUCUGGAGUGAAAGUAAAUGAGACCAACAGAGAUAAGAGACCCAGAGAAAUCUUGGUUACACUGCUUGAAUCCUGUCAGUCUUGUACUGGAGUUCUGUUAAUACAAAAUAAUAGUAAUAAUCCCUUUCUUUCUUGUGUUUAUGUCAACUUCAACAAAAAGAAACUUGACUAAGAGACAAUAUAAGAAUUUAAUGUGUAAUUAAGAAAGAACUCUCCACCACGGGGAAUGUGAAAGGUAUAUGAGUCCCUUUUUACGAUGCGAUGUCAUGUCUUUUAAAUAAGCCAUACUUUAUGUUCAAUAAAAAGAGAAUAAGCA
Long non-coding RNA from Nomascus leucogenys (northern white-cheeked gibbon), 614 nucleotides. RefSeq lists it as uncharacterized. The record is from RefSeq and is a predicted model, not a curated record. The transcript has 2 exons. Lineage: Eukaryota; Metazoa; Chordata; Mammalia; Primates; Hylobatidae.